Molecule: ribosomal RNA, 393 nt
Filed under: uncultured bacterium
Lineage: Bacteria
Description: partial 16S ribosomal RNA
Rfam family: Bacterial small subunit ribosomal RNA
Source: RNAcentral
AUACGGAGGAUCCGAGCGUUAUCCGGAUUUAUUGGGUUUAAAGGGUGCGCAGGCGGGAGAUUAAGUCGGCGGUGAAAUUUUGCAGCUCAACUGUAAAAGGGCCUUCGAUACUGGUUUCCUUGAGUGUGGAAGAAGUAGGCGGAAUUUGUGGUGUAGCGGUGAAAUGCUUAGAUAUCACGAGGAACUCCGAUGGCGCAGGCAGCUUACUAAAACCGUACUUACGAUCAGGAACGAAGGCGUGGGGAUCAAGCAGGGUUAGAUUCCCUGGUAGUCCACGCAGUAAACGGUGAUUACUGGCUGAUUGCGAUAGAAUGUAAGCGCCUGAGCGAAAGCGUUAAGUAAUCCACCUGGGGAGUACGUUCGCAAGAUUGAAACUCAAAUGAAUUGACGGGG